GUUGAAAGUCCUGAAAAUCAAAGAUAGUGGAGAAUAGACACUCCUGUUACUGACCUCUUUUGACCUUCUCUCAAACCAUCAGCAGUUUAAGUCUCUGAACUGGUUGAGUGACAAAAUUCACAAAUAUUUGGAGUACAGCACAUUUCCAGAAGAAGAUACUUUGGAAGAACUACAGAACAGGAAUAGUUAAGAUGCCAGCUCUUCCGGGAGGCUUCCUCAUAUAAAGUCAACAACUGCUAUUUGCCAGGCACUGGGCUAAGUCGUGGGGAUGCAAAAAUCCAAAAGCAUGGUUCCCGACCUCAAAGAAUUUACAUUCUAUUGGUUGAUCUUCAGAAUCCUCCUAAGACAAUUCAAAUGGAAGACGUUCAGUUUCCUGACAUGGUGCUGGUACACUGUCCAGAUUUCACAGGCAUCCAACAAUGAGAUCAACGCAACGGCUCGAUAGACCUUCAGUUUGAUGGUCAGGCUAAUACCUCCCUUCUCCCACACUUUCCUUUGGAGCUUCCCCAACACAGUUAGCUUUGGAUGCACAUGUCAACGUCAUUAUCAAUGUGGACAUUCCUGGAAAGUAUGCUGUCAAGUCAACUGAACUUUUCCACAAUAUUUAUAAUUUGUCCAUUUGCUGUACCUGAUGGUUCCACAUAUGGAUGGUGUAGUGCUGACUGAUGGAGCACCUGUGUUUUCUUGGUGGUGUUAGGCCAAAAUUAGCAAACAAUUUGGAAGCAUAGCUAUACCUAAGACAAGCAGGGAAGAGCAUCUGGGACUUAAGUGAAUCUUUUGAUCUUAAAUAGGCCAAUAUUUGAUGGCAAAGUCUCAUCAGAUGGAUACUGCAUUGUAGAUUCCUCACCUUGUAUUCUCUUCUAUUACAAAUGAUGCAACAGCAAAUUUACGGAAUCUUUUUCUACUCAAGCUAGGAUCUUUUACAUGUUUUCUAUCACAUAGACUGUAAUCUUAAUGAGUGUAGGGACUUUUCUCCCCUUCAUUUUGUUCUUUGUAUUUCUAGCACCUAACACAAUACCAUGUACAUUUAAUUGAUGUUUAUUUAAUUGAGAAAAAAAUCAUAUAUGUGCCCAUUUUCAUUCAUGAUUCGUUAAGUAAUUAUAUUGUGCAUUGCUAUUUGUUGAUGUCAUAUGCCAACUCUUUUGAAGGAAUAAAUGGAUCAAUUCGUUAGGUGUCCAAUUAUGUCAACUUUAGUGCAGGAUAUUAGUAAUAAAUAUCCAGAGGAAUCUUGAUUCUUUUAAUUAAAAA
Molecule: long non-coding RNA, 1248 nt
Organism: Antechinus flavipes (yellow-footed antechinus)
Lineage: Eukaryota; Metazoa; Chordata; Mammalia; Dasyuromorphia; Dasyuridae
Exons: 3
Source: RefSeq, a predicted model, not a curated record